GAUGAACGCUGGCGGCGUGCCUAAUACAUGCAAGUCGAACGAAGAGCGAAGGAAGCUUGCUUCUUUCAAUCUUAGUGGCGAACGGGUGAGUAAUACAUAAGCAACCUGCCUUAAUGACUGGGAUAACAGAUGGAAACGUCUGCUAAUACCGGAUGAAUUAAUUGAUGGCAUCAUCGAUUAAUAAAAGUUGGGAUACAACACAUUGAGAUGGGCUUAUGGCGCAUUAGCUAAGUUGGUGAGAUAAAAGCCCACCAAGGCGAUGAUGCGUAGCCGACCUGAGAGGGUGACCGGCCACACUGGGACUGAGACACGGCCCAGACUCCUACGGGA
This 330-nucleotide ribosomal RNA is filed under the name uncultured bacterium. RNAcentral's name for it is "bacterial SSU rRNA". It matches the Rfam family "Bacterial small subunit ribosomal RNA", at positions 28 to 346 of the family's 1533-position model. The record is from RNAcentral.